This 1119-nucleotide long non-coding RNA is filed under the name Equus asinus (donkey). RNAcentral describes it as "lncRNA (ENSEASG00005032784.1)". The record is from RNAcentral. Lineage: Eukaryota; Metazoa; Chordata; Mammalia; Perissodactyla; Equidae.
CUGUGAGGAAAUGAUACAUAGUUUAAGUUCUGAAGAGUGAGCAAACAUUAGUCAAGUAUGAGGAUGGGGAAAAGGGAGCAUUCUAGAUAAAGAGAAUGGUUUGUGGGAAGGCCCAGAAAUAUGAAAAAGCACGUCAAGGUCAAGAAACUGAAAAGCCACAGUGGCUGGAGCUUGGAGAGUGAGGAAGUUACCGGUUGUGAGAUUUUUUUUUUUAACUCUCUGGCUGCUCUGGAGUAGAGGGAGCAAGAGAGGACACAGGGACCCCUGGAUGAGGCCAUUACAGUGAUCCAAGUGAAAGAUAAUGGUGGCCUGGGUGAUGGUUGUGACAUCAGGCUUGGGGCAUAGUAGGCAAAUUCCAGAAAUGUUACAGGAGGUAGAAUUGAUAAGAAUUGCUGCUUGGUUGGUUAUGGGAAACAGGAAGUUUUCAAGAAUGACUCCCACAUUUCUGACUAAAUGGUGGUGUUACUCACUGAACUAGACGACUUGGCGAGAAAGUUUAGGAGGGAAGGACAUGAGUUCUGUUUCACCAGAGUGGAUUUCAGGGUACCUGUGAGACAUCCCAGAUGUCAACACUCCCAUUGGCCAAACCCAAUAGGAAGCCACAGGGCAGAGAGCUGGGUGGAAAAGGGUGGAGAGUGUGAUCAACAGGGAGCAAAUAGAAAAUAGCAGGCACAUUGGGACUUUCAUUAGGGUCUUCCUGACUCCAAAACCCAUGCUAUUAAACCCUGGGGCUCCCAGGGUCAGAGCAAGAAGGGGUUGCUCAGGGUAAGUCCCUGACGUGAUGGAGUACACAUGGAAACCGGAGCAGAAGCCCAGCCAAGCUUGCAAGUCCUGGACACCAGACUCUCUAGGGAAAGGCUCACUUGGCAAGGAGCCAACUACUCAUAAGGGAUUGAGGUCUCAGUUCAACAUAGUCUGUGAGGAAGUGAAUCCUGCCAACAACCAGUUGAGUAAGCUUAGAAGUAAAUCCUCCCUCGUUGAGUCUUCAAGUGAGAUGACAUCCCCAGCUGACACUUUGACUGCCGCCUUCUGAGAGACCCUGAAGCAGAAGACCCAGCUAAAGUGUGCCCGUAGAACCCGUAGAAGCUGACCCAUCGAAAUUGUGAGAGAAUAAAUGUG